CGUGGGAUAGAGCAGUGGUAGCUCAACAGGCUCAUGAUCUGAACGUCGUAGGUUCGAUUCCUACUCCCGCAU
This 72-nucleotide transfer RNA is filed under the name Hyphochytrium catenoides. RNAcentral describes it as "trnM(cat)". It matches the Rfam family "tRNA". From Rfam's summary of the family: Transfer RNA (tRNA) molecules are approximately 80 nucleotides in length. Lineage: Eukaryota; Hyphochytriomycetes; Hyphochytriales; Hyphochytriaceae. The record is from RNAcentral.